This 460-nucleotide ribosomal RNA is filed under the name uncultured bacterium. RNAcentral describes it as "partial 16S ribosomal RNA". It matches the Rfam family "Bacterial small subunit ribosomal RNA", at positions 338 to 795 of the family's 1533-position model. The record is from RNAcentral.
CCUACGGGAGGCAGCAGUGAGGAAUAUUGGUCAAUGGUCGUAAGCCUGAACCAGCCAAGUAGCGUGCAGGAUGAAGGCCCUACGGGUCGUAAACUGCUUUUAUGCGGGGAUAAAAUCCUCCACGUGUGGAGUUUUGCAGGUACCGUAUGAAUAAGGACCGGCUAAUUCCGUGCCAGCAGCCGCGGUAAUACGGAAGGCCCGAGCGUUAUCCGGAUUUAUUGGGUUUAAAGGGUGCGUAGGCCGUAUGUUAAGUCAGCCGUGAAAUUCCGGGGGUCAACCCUGGCACUGCGGUGGGAACUGGCAGGCUUGAGUGGGCGGGACGUAUGCGGAAUGCGCGGUGUAGCGGUGAAAUGCUUAGAUAUCGCGAAGAACUCCGAUUGCGAAGGCAGCAUACGGGCGCGCUACUGACGCUGAGGCUCGAAGGCGUGGGGAGCGAACAGGAGUAGAUACCCGUGUAGUC